CUAGGGGUCCUCAUCGGAUUACCGAAUUCAGUCAAACUCCGAAUGCCAAUGACUUAUCCUUAGGAGUCAGACUGCGAGUGAUAAGAUCCGUAGUCAAAAGGGAAACAGCCCAGACCGCCAGCUAAGGUCCCAAAGUGUGUAUUAAGUGGAAAAGGAUGUGGAGUUGCUUAGACAACUAGGAUGUUGGCUUAGAAGCAGCCACCAUUUAAAGAGUGCGUAAUAGCUCACUAGUCGAGUGACUCUGCGCCGAAAAUGUACCGGGGCUAAAUACACCACCGAAGCUGCGGAUUGAUACCGAAUGGUAUCAGUGGUAGGGGAGCGUUCUAAGGACAGUGAAGUCAGACCGGAAGGACUGGUGGAGUGCUUAGAAGUGAGAAUGCCGGUAUGAGUAGCGAAAGACGGGUGAGAAUCCCGUCCACCGAAUGCCUAAGGUUUCCUGAGGAAGGCUCGUCCGCUCAGGGUUAGUCAGGACCUAAGCCGAGGCCGACAGGCGUAGGCGAUGGACAACAGGUUGAUAUUCCUGUACCACCUCUUUAUCGUUUGAGCAAUGGAGGGACGCAGAAGGAUAGAAGAAGCGUGCGAUUGGUUGUGCACGUCCAAGCAGUUAGGCUGAUAAGUAGGCAAAUCCGCUUAUCGUGAAGGCUGAGCUGUGAUGGGGAAGCUCCUUAUGGAGCGAAGUCUUUGAUUCCCCGCUGCCAAGAAAAGCUUCUAGCGAGAUAAAAGGUGCCUGUACCGCAAACCGACACAGGUAGGCGAGGAGAGAAUCCUAAGGUGUGCGAGAGAACUCUGGUUAAGGAACUCGGCAAAAUGACCCCGUAACUUCGGGAGAAGGGGUGCUUUCUUAACGGAAAGCCGCAGUGAAUAGGCCCAAGCGACUGUUUAGCAAAAACACAGCUCUCUGCGAAGCCGUAAGGCGAAGUAUAGGGGGUGACACCUGCCCGGUGCUGGAAGGUUAAGGAGAGGGGUUAGCGUAAGCGAAGCUCUGAACUGMAGCCCCAGUAAACGGCGGCCGUAACUAUAACGGUCCUAAGGUAGCGAAAUUCCUUGUCGGGUAAGUUCCGACCCGCACGAAAGGUGUAACGAUUUGGGCACUGUCUCAACCAGAGACUCGGUGAAAUUAUAGUACCUGUGAAGAUGCAGGUUACCCGCGACAGGACGGAAAGAC
This 1165-nucleotide ribosomal RNA is filed under the name Bacillus cereus. RNAcentral's name for it is "bacterial LSU rRNA". It matches the Rfam family "Bacterial large subunit ribosomal RNA", at positions 920 to 2089 of the family's 2925-position model. The record is from RNAcentral. Lineage: Bacteria; Bacillati; Bacillota; Bacilli; Caryophanales; Bacillaceae.